GUCAAGAUGGUUGAGUGGCUUAAGGCAUUAAACUCAAGUUUUGGUCUUCGUAAGAGGGCAUGGGUUCAAAUCCCAUUUCUAACA
Molecule: transfer RNA, 84 nt
Filed under: Ipomoea nil (Japanese morning glory)
Lineage: Eukaryota; Viridiplantae; Streptophyta; Magnoliopsida; Solanales; Convolvulaceae
Rfam family: tRNA
About the family: Transfer RNA (tRNA) molecules are approximately 80 nucleotides in length. Their secondary structure includes four short double-helical elements and three loops (D, anti-codon, and T loops).
Source: Rfam by way of RNAcentral